UACGUAGGUGGCAAGCGUUGUCCGGAAUUAUUGGGCGUAAAGCGCGCGCAGGCGGUCCUUUAAGUCUGAUGUGAAAGCCCACGGCUCAACCGUGGGGGGUCAUUGGAAACUGGGGGACUUGAGUUCGGGAGAGGUGAGUGGAAUGCCGAGUGUAGAGGUGAAAUUCGUAGAUAUUCGGCGGAACACCAGUGGCGAAGGCGACUCUUUGGCCUGUAACUGACGCUGAGGCGCGAAAGCGUGGGGAGCGAACGGG
Molecule: ribosomal RNA, 253 nt
Filed under: uncultured bacterium
Lineage: Bacteria
Description: partial 16S ribosomal RNA
Rfam family: Bacterial small subunit ribosomal RNA
Source: RNAcentral